Molecule: ribosomal RNA, 497 nt
Filed under: uncultured bacterium
Lineage: Bacteria
Description: partial 16S ribosomal RNA
Rfam family: Bacterial small subunit ribosomal RNA
Source: RNAcentral
GAUGAACGCUGGCGGCGUGCCUAAUACAUGCAAGUCGAGCGAACAGAUGAGGAGCUUGCUCCUCUGACGUUAGCGGCGGACGGGUGAGUAACACGUGGAUAACCUACCUAUAAGACUGGGAUAACUUCGGGAAACCGGAGCUAAUACCGGAUAAUAUAUUGAACCGCAUGGUUCAAUAGUGAAAGACGGUUUUGCUGUCACUUAUAGAUGGAUCCGCGCCGCAUUAGCUAGUUGGUAAGGUAACGGCUUACCAAGGCGACGAUGCGUAGCCGAGCUGAGAGGGUGGUCGGCCACCUUGGAGCUGAGACACGGUCCAGACUCCUGCGGGAGGCAGCAGUAGGGAAUCUUCCGCAAUGGGCGAGAGCCUGACGGAGCAACGCCGCGUGAGUGAUGACGGUCUUCGGAUCGUAAAACUCUGUUAUUAGGGAAGAACAAAUGUGUAAGUAGCUAUGCACGUCUUGACGGUACCUAGUCAGAAAGCCACGGCUAACUACGUG